This 21-nucleotide non-coding RNA is filed under the name Caenorhabditis elegans. Lineage: Eukaryota; Metazoa; Nematoda; Chromadorea; Rhabditida; Rhabditidae. The record is from RNAcentral.
UCGAAAAUGAAAAUGAUCUCA